UCAAACGCAAAAGAAAGAGUAGUAACAAGAACUAGGGGCAAAAGGUGCUCUGUUCAAAUACUCAAAAUACAGAAUUGUGACAAAGCACACCCAAUACCAUCCAACGAAAAGAAUGAAACGUUACCUAUUUGUUCACCAUUUAACAUGUUAGCAAACAGGAAAGCAAAAAAUAGGAUGGGGUUUAGAUGUAACAAUUUUGGACUUCACACAGCCUUGAUGAGAGACCAAAGCCUAAGAACGAACAUGCAAAGAGACCUGCAAGCAAGAACAGCGAUGAAUGCAGGGAAAGAUAAGGAAGCACCAAAAGCACCAACGAUGUGUUGGAGGCGACGGAUCUAAGCUUGGAUGUGAUGGGCGGCUUCAUGCAGCUUGACGGAGUGGCAAUGACAAAGGCGGAGGCGGAUACGAAGACGAUGUGCCAGAGACGGCGGAUCUGAGCUCGAGAUGCGACAGACAGGCUCCCAAGAGAUUU
Molecule: long non-coding RNA, 472 nt
Filed under: Eucalyptus grandis
Lineage: Eukaryota; Viridiplantae; Streptophyta; Magnoliopsida; Myrtales; Myrtaceae
Description: long non-coding RNA (EGRA_LNC004685)
Source: RNAcentral